RNAcentral lists this long non-coding RNA (451 nucleotides) under Cicer arietinum (chickpea). RNAcentral's name for it is "long non-coding RNA (CARI_LNC002390)". The record is from RNAcentral. Lineage: Eukaryota; Viridiplantae; Streptophyta; Magnoliopsida; Fabales; Fabaceae.
CAAGAGCAAACUAAGGUGUAUGGAGUUAGGAUCAAAAUCUACUUUGCAUGGUCCUACAAAACAAUACAUUCUUUUUUCUUCUUCUUUUUCUUAUAUAAAGAAAAAGUAAGGAUCUAAUGUCAAUUCAUGGGAUGAAGGAAAAUUUUAGAAGAAGUAGAAUAAUCAAAAUAUGAAUUAAUUUUUAUAUAUAUAAGUAAAAUUCCAAAUCAUUAUUUGACAGCCUGGCCAACUCAACUCUCACAACUCUAUUCCAAUCCUUAUAAGAACAUCUAAAAGAAACAACUCUCCAAAACUCUCUCUCUCUCUCUCUCUCUUAAAUCAUCCUGUAUUCUCUCUUCUUCUCUUAGGCGUGGAAUUUGGCUUUCAUUACUGUCUCUCUCUAAACCAUCAACACUCCUUGUUUUGGAAAAUAUAGCCAUGGAUUUUUUUCUUUCUCUUAACAUAAUCAUUU